UCUAUUCCUUGAGACAUGUUUUUCCUUUUUGAUUAACUGAUUUUUUGCUCAUAUCUCAUUCUUUUCAACAAUUUGAGGUAAUGUUCAAAUAACUACUGAGGAGGCCUAACUGACAUUGAGCAGAUUAAAGUGGCUUGUUCUUAUCUUUUAGGAAAAAAAAAAAAGUGGGUUGUUUUUUGAGAGGAAACAAGUGAUGCUUCAUUUUAACUUAUCAACUUUAGCUGAACAAAUGUUGCAAAUUUUCUUCAGGUUUUCUCUCUGUUAACCCUCUACUUUGAUUCUAUUCAAUUCCUCACCUAUAUCCCUUCUUUCAAGUUAUACCAUAUGAUUGUUGCAUUCCAAGAAAUCUUGAUUGACUUCUAUUACUGAACAACAGCUUGGGGGCGGGGAAUUCCAGUAAUGUUGUUACUAUUAAUGCACACAGCUGCAUAGUCGACGAAAUUCAAAAUUGGUCCGCUCAUUACUGGCCCUAUCUUGUGAAUAGAUUUUGUAAUCCUAUUAACUAUAGUAAGCAUUUUCAGUACUAUUUGUUGUGCACUCUCCUUUAAUUAAUACAAUUUUCCCUUUUACUAUUGCAGGUUUCCAGUCGGACUAGUUUUUAAGAUAUAUAUGCCCUUCUAAACUUGUCAUCUGAUCAGGUAGUUCCCACCUGAUACACGAUUUGAAUGUCUAAUUAACAUGGGAAGGUGGCACUUGUCGAUGCACGUGGAGGGGCAUGCUUGUGGAGCUAUAUAUCUCUUUGGAGAAAUGCAACAAGAAAGGGUUAAAGAGGAUGAAUAUAGAAAAUAAGACAUGUCCGGCUGAUUCUUUGAUAAAGGAAGAGGUUCAAUUUCUUCGUGUGGUGAUGGGGCAUGAGGAUGAAUCUCUUGAUGAAUUUAUUAAAGCAUGCAAUGCAUGCCAAGAAGAUCUGAUAUACUUCCCGGCUCGUAAUGCUUAGGGUCUUACCAGCAUUGCCAACAAUAGUGACAAACUUGUGGCCUUGCAAAACAAAUUUGAGAAUGUGAAGAAGAGAAUGGAUGAUGAGGCCAAGAAGGCCAUGUGGCUUGAGCAGAAGAUAAAAUUUCUUACUCAAGGAUAUCAGGUAUAGCGAGAAGUGCUUGUCAAAUGUCAUGGUAGCCAUAUGCCAUUACCACCAUCCUAUUUUUGGAUCAGAUGCUGGUGAAUCAUAUGGCCUUACUUGUACUGUAUUCCCAAUAUAUU
Long non-coding RNA from Magnolia sinica, 1200 nucleotides. RefSeq lists it as uncharacterized. The transcript has 3 exons. NCBI's taxonomy places the organism in Eukaryota, Viridiplantae, Streptophyta, Magnoliopsida, Magnoliales, Magnoliaceae. The record is from RefSeq and is a predicted model, not a curated record.